GUGCUCACUUCUGCAACAUAUAUCCUUAAAUUGAAGCAAUACAGGAAAGAUAAGCAUGGUCCCAGGGCAGGGCUGCCAGGCAAAUUGGUGAAACAUUCCAUAUUUUC
Heterocephalus glaber (naked mole-rat) is the source of this 107-nucleotide small nuclear RNA. The record is from Ensembl. NCBI's taxonomy places the organism in Eukaryota, Metazoa, Chordata, Mammalia, Rodentia, Bathyergidae.